RNAcentral lists this ribosomal RNA (292 nucleotides) under uncultured archaeon. RNAcentral describes it as "partial 16S ribosomal RNA". It matches the Rfam family "Archaeal small subunit ribosomal RNA", at positions 339 to 631 of the family's 1478-position model. The record is from RNAcentral.
GCRCGAAAACUCUACAAUGCAGGCAACUGCGAUAGGGGAACAUCGAGUGGCAYCCACCAUGGGUGUCUGUCCAACCGUCUAAAAAACGGCUGUUAGCAAGGGCCGGGCAAGACCGGUGCCAGCCGCCGCGGUAAUACCGGCGGCUCGAGUGGUGGCCGAUAUUAUUGAGUCUAAAGGGUCCGUAGCCGGCUUUGCAAGUCCCCUGGGAAAUCCAGCGGCUUAACCGUUGGGCUUCCAUGGGAUACUACAUUGCUUGGGACUGGGAKAGGUAGGAGGUACUCAGGGGGUAUGG